This 773-nucleotide ribosomal RNA is filed under the name uncultured Neocallimastigales. RNAcentral describes it as "partial large subunit ribosomal RNA". It matches the Rfam family "Eukaryotic large subunit ribosomal RNA", at positions 24 to 647 of the family's 3401-position model. Lineage: Eukaryota; Fungi; Neocallimastigomycota; Neocallimastigomycetes; Neocallimastigales. The record is from RNAcentral.
UAUCUCUGUAGAGUCUGCAUAUCAAUAAGCGGAGGAAAAGAAACUAACUAGGAUUCCCUUAGUAACGGCGAGUGAAGCGGGAAGAGCUCAAAUUUGAAAUCUUCAAGGUUUUACCUUGACGAAUUGUAGUUUAAAGAAGUGUUUUCUGUUGGAGUUUUGGUAAAAGUUCUUUGGAAUAGGACAUCAUAGAGGGUGAGAAUCCCGUAUUUGACCAUUACUUCCAGCGUUGUGAUACACUUUCAAAGAGUCGGAUUGUUUGGGAAUGCAGUCCAAAAUGGGUGGUAAAUUUCAUCUAAAGCUAAAUAUUGGCGAGAGACCGAUAGCGAACAAGUACCGUGAGGGAAAGAUGAAAAGAACUUUGAAAAGAGAGUUAAACAGUACGUGAAAUUGUCAAAAGGGAAGCGUUUGACACCAGUGUUGUUUUUCUGAAAAUCAAUUGAAGAACUGUUUAUGCUAAGCUGUUUAGACUUUAUCAGCUAUCUGUUUAGUUUUGAGCUUUUCUUUAAUGCACUUUUCAGUUAACAAGUCAACAUCAAUUUCUUUUGCUGUAAAAAAGCUUGAGGAAGGUGGCUUGAGAUUCGUCUUAAGUGUUUAUAGCCUCUUGCCUAUGCAGUCGGAGAGAUUGAGGUCUGCAGCGUAGAUCCUUCGGGGCUAAAUGCAUUUGUGCUAAGUUAUAGCAUUUUAUAGACAACUUGUUGACUAUGAUUUGUCUUGUAGCUUACUCGCUUAUGUUAUUUUACCUACGCUUAGGAUGUUGACGAUCAGCUGAGCGC